GCUACAUAAAAUAUUACAAUUCUCGGAAUACGAGCCAUAGGUCGGAACACUGUCAACGACCCACCAGAAAAUCUGAAAACACUCAGAACACAGAUCAAACACUCGAACCUCGCAAUUUGCAAAGGUCCAGUGUGUUACAUUAAUGAAUCUUAUUUUACCCGCAUAUUUUCUGUUUUGAUUUUUCUCUCUUUUGUUAUUGUAUCAGUUUUUACUGAGGAGACGGGUUUAUAGUAAAAACCUAAUUUGACGCUUCCGU
RNAcentral lists this long non-coding RNA (256 nucleotides) under Ananas comosus (pineapple). Its description in RNAcentral is "long non-coding RNA (ACOM_LNC034652)". The record is from RNAcentral. Lineage: Eukaryota; Viridiplantae; Streptophyta; Magnoliopsida; Poales; Bromeliaceae.